This 102-nucleotide Y RNA is filed under the name Aotus nancymaae (Ma's night monkey). Its description in RNAcentral is "Y RNA (ENSANAG00000007514.1)". It matches the Rfam family "Y RNA". From Rfam's summary of the family: Y RNAs are components of the Ro ribonucleoprotein particle (Ro RNP), in association with Ro60 and La proteins. The Y RNAs and Ro60 and La proteins are well conserved, but the function of the Ro RNP is not known. The record is from Rfam by way of RNAcentral. Lineage: Eukaryota; Metazoa; Chordata; Mammalia; Primates; Aotidae.
GGCUGGUCCGAGUGCAGUGGUGUUUACAACUAAUUGAUCACAACCAGCUACAGAUUUCUUUGUUCCUUCUCCACUCCCACUGCUUCACUUGACUAGCCUUUA